Molecule: long non-coding RNA, 1827 nt
Filed under: Patiria miniata (bat star)
Lineage: Eukaryota; Metazoa; Echinodermata; Asteroidea; Valvatida; Asterinidae
Description: uncharacterized LOC119740472
Source: RNAcentral
UGUCGAAAUGUGUCUUAUGGACAUGAAGUAUUGUUUGUGAUUUGUUCUUCCAUAAUAUCCGAUUCGCAAAGAUCGAUAAUUACCUUUUGUGUUAGGGCCAUUGUGUCAAUUUUGUUUAUUGUAAAUCAGGUGUAAUGACACCUGUAGCGUCGGAUACACCUUGUAAUCGCUCUGUAAAGUCUAUAUCCUGAAUUUACAGGGUGAAACAAUGUGCAUUAAUUAAUUUAACAACCACAACACCAGUGGAGGAUUUGAUCGAUGGUACAUUUGAAUUCUGAUAAGUCCGAUCACAGCUGGUCGGCAAUGUGAAUGUUGUUUCCCUUUGAACCGCGUUGCGCGUCAGUGGAUGCGCGUUGCUUUGCGCAAACUGGAAUAUCAUCUUCGCGACCAGUAUGCCAAAUUAUCUAUUUAGAAUAAAGUAAGCUUUCAUUCUCAACGGUUGAAUCCAUUACAAUGGUCAGGUAAGGGCCACUAAUUGGAUUAUUUUCACUGUCUGUAUGUAAGAUACUUUGCAUCCAAUUAGGCUUAGAGAUCUAAGUAGCGUAGACCUAAACUAAGUUUCCCUUUUUUUCUCUAUGGUUGUAUCUUUAUAGUGGUCAGGUAAGGACUAAUAUACGUUUCCUUCUCCUUAUACCACAGCACCGGUCACAAAUAUGAUCAGGAAUCCACUGUACAUUGUAGUUACAAAACGUAGCUCCGCUAGGAAGACUUCUUUUAUUUCAGCAACUUGCAAUUAGAUUAGGAGGACCGGCAAGCCAGAGUGCUCAUGUCAGGAGCUGCUGACACGGAGGAACCGGAAGCAGGGAGGAGGAACACCGGAUGACUGAAGACCCUGCUUGCCGGCCAUCCCAAUGCUGAUUUCCCAGAGAUGACGGUCUGCAAGAUGAGAUGUCAUUCUGGACGAAGAUACAAUCACUUCUGAAUCCCAAGGAACGGAAAGCAGGGAGGAGAACCGACGGAAGGACUGAAGACCCUGCCUGCAGAGCAAGUCUUCACCAAUUCUUGAGAUUCCUCUUGUUUCGUGUAAGCAGCAGAGACGAUGACAAUAUACAUCACGGAGUGCAGUUGUUCACCAAGGCAGGAACACGAAUUUUAGCAACACUCGACUGAGUUUUACAAUAGCUAGCUCCUGAAAGUUCCCAUAAGUUUCUCUUAAAAUGUCGUCACAUUUUAUUAAUCCGAGGGAUGUAUAAAGAUACCAUCCCAUUCAAAAUCCUUCCGAAAACCUGCUGGAUAAAUUUAAAAAGCUGUAUAUGUCAACUUAUUUAAUCAAUAGGUUUAAGUCCUACCUAAGUGGUCGUAAUCAGUCUGUGAAUAUCGAGGGAACAUGUCAAAGGUAACGCCAACAAAAACGUUGGCUUUCCACUUUUUGCGACGGUGUACCGGUAAUGUACAUUGACUGAUGUACGUACAUUGACUGAUUUCUCGGUGCAAAAAGCGCAAGUGGAAGCAUUUCAACCUCGUGAAGAAAGUUUCUUCUUGUUUGUCGGUGUGUGAACCAAUCCAUGUCAACUUUUCGCGGUGUAUUAUAUGGUGAAGAUUAAAAGCAAACAUCUCUAGAUACCUGAGGGAAUAACUACAUCCCUCCAAGGUUUCAUGUCCAAGCCUUUCGGAAAUCAGAUUUUCCUCUCAUAUGAAACUCGACAAUAAACAAGCUUUUUUGAUUGUUAUUCGCUGUGGGUCUUAAUUUAAAGGACCUUUGGGAGAGAGAGUUGCAUUGAGUUGAAGAGAUGUUUUCUCUUCACACAUGUCGUAUUCUUUUCAAUUUGAGAUUCUUUCUUCGUCGUAGUUAUCUUUUUUUACCAAUUUCAUCAAAUUCAUUUCAGU